UUCCAUUGAUUAUUCAAUUGAAUAUACCCGAACUUAAGAUCUGAAAAAGUUUCAAACGACUUUUCGAAAAGGAGGGGGGAAAAAACUCUUUUUGACAGAGAUCUUUCACUUUUGGCAUGGAAAACAACCCCAACACCAACACGCCGCAGUUCGACUUUCAAUAUUAUGCAGAAGAGAAAGAAACCAUUCAAACCGAAGGCAUGUGAACAGGGUUGAGCUCCGCCAAUCUUUGUUUUUACUCUUUGGCCAACACCACCACGCGCAGCCCAGGGGCUCGUGGUUUCCACAUUCCUUGUAAGCUAGGCAAGGCAAAAUUGGUGUGCUUUGCUAUGCUUUGCUUUGCUGUUGAAUUUUGAUUGAUUGUCAAGCAAAAUUGAAUGAUUUUAAUUAAAAAUUGAUGUUUAAUUCAUGUAAUUUCUUAAAAAAUAAAUUGAGAUUUAAAUUAUAACAUUUUAUAUUUUUUUAAUAUUUAAAUUACGAC
RNAcentral lists this long non-coding RNA (481 nucleotides) under Durio zibethinus. RNAcentral's name for it is "long non-coding RNA (DZIB_LNC001239)". Lineage: Eukaryota; Viridiplantae; Streptophyta; Magnoliopsida; Malvales; Malvaceae. The record is from RNAcentral.